AACGAACGCUGGCGGCAUGCCUAACACAUGCAAGUCGAACGAGACCUUCGGGUCUAGUGGCGCACGGGUGCGUAACGCGUGGGAACCUGCCCUUAGGUUCGGAAUAACUCCCCGAAAGGGGUGCUAAUACCGGAUAAUGUCUUCGGACCAAAGAUUUAUCGCCUUUGGAUGGGCCCGCGUUGGAUUAGCUAGUUGGUAGGGUAAAAGCCUACCAAGGCGACGAUCCAUAGCUGGUCUGAUAGGAUGAUCAGCCACACUGGGACUGAGACACGGCCCAGACUCCUACGGGAGGCAGCAGUGGGGAGUAUUGGACAAUGGGCGAAAGCCUGAUCCAGCAAUGCCGCGUGAGUGAUGAAGGCCUUAGGGUUGUAGAGCUCUUUUACCCGGGAUGAUAAUGACAGUACCGGGAGAAUAAGCUCCGGCUAACUCCGUG
Molecule: ribosomal RNA, 433 nt
Filed under: uncultured bacterium
Lineage: Bacteria
Description: partial 16S ribosomal RNA
Rfam family: Bacterial small subunit ribosomal RNA
Source: RNAcentral